UAUCUGUUGAGCACAUUGAAACCAAUAGAAAGACAACAUAUCAUCAGUUUCUUGUUCUUUUAAAAUAUGAGUCUAUGCUAAUGCUUGUAGAAGAAAUCGGGUGUCUUCUACUUCGCUGUAUCAAUACUGACCUUGUUAGUAAGAAAGUUAUUUCUUUUGAGUUUUAGACAUGACCUAUGUUAUUUCUUUUGAGUUUUAGACAUGAACUAUAGAAAUAGGAAGUGGUGAUUUUAUUUAACUCUGAAUAAUGAGACUUGCACUGUCUAAAGAUUUGUAAUUUUAGUGUUAGUUUUCUUCUUAUGUGCUGGUAUGACCUUUGGUGCUUGCAUUCUAAAAGGUAUUAGCUCACAUACAGGAGUAUCUGUGUAAAAUAGAUUAAUAUUGAGAUGCUUGGCAGAUGCAAGGUGUUUAAAUCGUUUGGUUAAAAUCAGUAGCUGUAAAAAUCUGUAUUGUAGUGGGCUAGCAGGUUCCAUCAUAUCUUCUCUAGUUCUCUGUGCCAGUACUUACUGUUUUCAUUGUUUAUAAGUCAUUCUCUGAUCAUGUUCUUGGCUCUAGUUUUUUGGGGAGUAUAUACAAUGACCUGAUGGAUUUAUGCAUUGUGAAAUUGAACAGAGCGUGGCUUAUAAACAAAAAGUUCGGUCAAAGGAUGUGUCAUAAGGACUCAUAUAAUCAGGAUUCUAAAUGAAUGAGUAGAGAAUGAAACUAGAGUCAUCAAUUUUUGCUCAUUCUUGUUCUUGUUUGUUGUUAUUUUCUGUGGUCGAAGGCUAUGUAAACGAUGAGAUACAUCAAGCUGAAUCACUCAACGUAAAGACGCAAACUUGGGAGCCAGCGCCGAGUCUUGAGAUGAAGGAGAUUUGGUGUAGAAUGAUUGGUUUAGAAAGGAGCGAUGAAGGGAUCAAUGGGGCUGCAGAAUCGGGUCAGCGUAUGAGGCUCAUACCUGUACUGGAAAAAACAAACCGUUUCCUAGAGGAGGCAAGGUAAGAUCAAUCAAAGUUACUUAUGUGUGCCAAAUGAGGCUGCUAGUUUUGAUUUGCAAUCUUCUUACAUGCUUUAUCUGUUGAGCACAUUGAAACCAAUAGAAAGACAACAUAUCAUCAGUUUCUUGUUCUUUUAAAAUAUGAGUCUAUGCUAAUGCUUGUAGAAGAAAUCGGGUGUCUUCUACUUCGCUGUAUCAAUACUGACCUUGUUAGUAAGAAAGUUAUUUCUUUUGAGUUUUAGACAUGACCUAUGUUAUUUCUUUUGAGUUUUAGACAUGAACUAUAGAAAUAGGAAGUGGUGAUUUUAUUUAACUCUGAAUCAGGUGAAUGAGCUGCUGAGACAUUCAUCCAUGCCAUUAAUUUUUCUUCCUUCACAAGUUCAACUUCUAAAGUUUUUUUUUUAAGAACUCAUGCUUAAGAAACUUGCAAUGGAGGAUAAAAAAUUAAGUGUCUCUUAAGCAAAGUUCUUAACACAUACUCCCUC
Molecule: long non-coding RNA, 1461 nt
Filed under: Brassica napus (rape)
Lineage: Eukaryota; Viridiplantae; Streptophyta; Magnoliopsida; Brassicales; Brassicaceae
Description: long non-coding RNA (BNAP_LNC024593)
Source: RNAcentral